RNAcentral lists this ribosomal RNA (588 nucleotides) under Shigella flexneri. Its description in RNAcentral is "bacterial SSU rRNA". It matches the Rfam family "Bacterial small subunit ribosomal RNA", at positions 202 to 779 of the family's 1533-position model. The record is from RNAcentral. Lineage: Bacteria; Pseudomonadati; Pseudomonadota; Gammaproteobacteria; Enterobacterales; Enterobacteriaceae.
GGGACCUUCGGGCCUCUUGCCAUCGGAUGUGCCCAGAUGGGAUUAGCUAGUAGGUGGGGUAACGGCUCACCUAGGCGACGAUCCCUAGCUGGUCUGAGAGGAUGACCAGCCACACUGGAACUGAGACACGGUCCAGACUCCUACGGGAGGCAGCAGUGGGGAAUAUUGCACAAUGGGCGCAAGCCUGAUGCAGCCAUGCCGCGUGUAUGAAGAAGGCCUUCGGGUUGUAAAGUACUUUCAGCGGGGAGGAAGGGAGUAAAGUUAAUACCUUUGCUCAUUGACGUUACCCGCAGAAGAAGCACCGGCUAACUCCGUGCCAGCAGCCGCGGUAAUACGGAGGGUGCAAGCGUUAAUCGGAAUUACUGGGCGUAAAGCGCACGCAGGCGGUUUGUUAAGUCAGAUGUGAAAUCCCCGGGCUCAACCUGGGAACUGCAUCUGAUACUGGCAAGCUUGAGUCUCGUAGAGGGGGGUAGAAUUCCAGGUGUAGCGGUGAAAUGCGUAGAGAUCUGGAGGAAUACCGGUGGCGAAGGCGGCCCCCUGGACGAAGACUGACGCUCAGGUGCGAAAGCGUGGGGAGCAAACAGGAUU